GUGCAUUCAGUCGUAUGCUGACCUGCGAUUACUAGCGAUUCCUGCUUCAUGCAGGCGGGUUGCAGCCUGCAAUCCGAACUGGGACUCUGUUUUUGGGGUUUGCUCCGGAUCGCUCCUUCGCGUCCCUCUAUUGAGAGCCAUUGUAGUACGUGUGUAGCCCAAGCCAUAAGGGGCAUGAUGACUUGACGUCAUCCCCGCCUUCCUCCGCAUUGUCCGCGGCAGUCUCUCCGGAGUCCCCACCCUUACGUGCUGGUAACAAAAAAUAGGGGUUGCGCUCGUUGCGGGACUUAACCCAACAUCUCACGACACGAGCUGACGACAGCCGUGCACCACCUGUUUUCUUGUCCUCCGAAGAGGAAAAAGGCAUCUCUGCCUCGUUCAAUCAAUGUCAAGGCUUGGU
RNAcentral lists this ribosomal RNA (400 nucleotides) under uncultured Lactobacillus sp. RNAcentral's name for it is "partial 16S ribosomal RNA". Lineage: Bacteria; Bacillati; Bacillota; Bacilli; Lactobacillales; Lactobacillaceae. The record is from RNAcentral.